CUUUAAGUCACCCUCAAGCUUUCUCUUGGCUCUCUCGAGGUCCAUACGAAGCUUCUUCUCUUGCUCAAGAGAUCCCUCAAGCUGAAAAGAUUCUGAUGCCUUCCAGCACACCGUUACAGCGCAGCUGGUGCAUGACCAAUGGAUUCUCCAUAGCCCCAGGAGUCUUGGACUCGUUGGGGAUGAUGCAGCGCACAAAGUGGGGGGCCCCUGACCACUGCAGCUGUUCCAGGAAACAGGCUCCUCCCCUGGGUCCAGGCUCCUCCUCUAAGUCCACUGGCCAGAAGCAUCACUUUGAGCUACUCGAAGGAGACUUGCUGCUACUUUCAGUAGAUGGCCACCUCACUGAGAAUCUCUCCGAGAAAGCAAAAUAAUGGCUCUGUGAUUCUUAAUCACUCCCCCCAGUUACGUAUGGAUUUUUUUCAUCUUAAAUGUUAGUAGUCUAAAACAUGGUGUUAUGUAGGCUAAGAUAUGGUGGAUAAUAUAAAAGGAUGCUCUAAAACUAAAAUUGUAUUGCAUUUAGAAAUGUAGUGCAGAGUCCUUACAGGGUAUUUCUCCCUUUCUAAUUAUACAGGAGGAUUUUGUAGCUGAAUAAAAGACCCUGGUGACACUCAAUGGAAGAUGUGCGUUACUCGUUUGAAGUGGAAGCUCACCUA
This is a long non-coding RNA of Engraulis encrasicolus (European anchovy), 653 nucleotides long. RefSeq lists it as uncharacterized. NCBI's taxonomy places the organism in Eukaryota, Metazoa, Chordata, Actinopteri, Clupeiformes, Engraulidae. The record is from RefSeq and is a predicted model, not a curated record. The transcript has 3 exons.